Manduca sexta (tobacco hornworm) is the source of this 370-nucleotide long non-coding RNA. RefSeq lists it as uncharacterized. Lineage: Eukaryota; Metazoa; Arthropoda; Insecta; Lepidoptera; Sphingidae. The transcript has 2 exons. The record is from RefSeq and is a predicted model, not a curated record.
CAUUUUUGAUAGCCAUUAUAUUAUGUGUUUUAAUAAGCGGUUCAGUAUUAUUGUUGUAUUACGGCGACAUUAUCAUCAGCAUCAUCAUCAUAAGCCCGUUGCAGUCCACUGCUGGAAGAAGCCCUCUCCCAAGGGGUUGUGCUGGCGAGACCGGCUGGGCCCGAGCGUACGGCGUCGGCGCGGGGGUGGCAAAUGGAGCUGAAUCAAAGGGUGGCGAUGAUGCGCAGUAUGCCCCUAUAUUGAUGUUUAAUGGCGGCCGUUCCCCAUACUGGGGUGAGACGGCUAGUAUGGUACGUUAGUUUAUAGAGAGAAUAUGCAUAUAUUGUAAAUGCGGCAAAUUAUGUCCAUGUAAUAGUCUUAAAUUAAAAAA